CUACGGGGUGCUGCAGUGAGGAAUAUUGGGCAAUGGAGGCAACUCUGACCCAGCCAUGCCGCGUGCAGGAAGACGGCCCUCUGGGUUGUAAACUGCUUUUGUUUGGGAAUAAACCCUUCUACGUGUAGAAGGCUGAAGGUACCUUACGAAUAAGGAUCGGCUAACUCCGUGCCAGCAGCCGCGGUAAUACGGAGGAUCCAAGCGUUAUCCGGGAUUUUGGGUUUAAAGGGUCCGUAGGCGGGUCUUUAAGUCAGUGGUGAAAGCCCACAGCUCAACUGUGGGACUGCCAUUGAUACUGGAGAUCUUGAGUGUAGUAGAAGUAGGCGGAAUAGGGCAUGUAGCGGUGAAAUGCAUAGAUAUGCCCUAGAACACCGAUUGCGAAGGCAGCUUACUAUGUUACAACUGACGCUGAGGGACGAAAGCGUGGGGAGCAAACAGGAUUAGAUACCCUGGUAGUC
This 458-nucleotide ribosomal RNA is filed under the name uncultured bacterium. RNAcentral's name for it is "partial 16S ribosomal RNA". It matches the Rfam family "Bacterial small subunit ribosomal RNA", at positions 339 to 795 of the family's 1533-position model. The record is from RNAcentral.